UGAACAAUAGGAUUGAAAUUUUUCAGCCAAUUAAAAUUCCCCAAUCUCAAUAAGCAAACACAAAUACUUUAUAAUUGCGAAAACAACAACGACCCCACUUAAGAGAGAGAGAGAAAUGACAUGACGAUUAUUCUUAGGUACAAGACAAGCACUAAAUCAUAAUUACUGACGAAUGAUGAUGAUCCUGGAGGACCUUAUGUAUAUAUGACACAACUUGGCCUGUCAGGACGAUUUCUGGCAGGGCAAAGGGAGCUCACACAAAAGGAGCCAACAACUAUACGCCAUGAGUUUUCUUGGAACAACUGCAGAAAACAGAAGGGUCAGUGACAUACAAAGGCAAUCAGGUGAAUCCCUGGAGCCAACUUGGGAGAAACCUGCCAGAGUAGAAUUCCAACAAUUGAUGCAUAAAAAUUUAGCAUCACCAAGCAAAAGAAGACGACGUGGUAAGUUCAAGGCUAAAUAGCAAAGUUUCCAUUGCUAUUGACAGCCCACAAGGCUGCAAAGCACAAAUGUGUUGGCCCAUCCUUUCUUCUUGCUGGGGAUUGCUAAUGCUUCUAAUUAUAUCAGCUGGACGCUCUUGGAUAUUGCUUUCCAUCUCAACUUCAUUGCCGGUUGGGCUCUUUUAUCGGUUCCAUGGAUUGCUCACGAG
This 649-nucleotide long non-coding RNA is filed under the name Manihot esculenta (cassava). Its description in RNAcentral is "long non-coding RNA (MESC_LNC000806)". The record is from RNAcentral. Lineage: Eukaryota; Viridiplantae; Streptophyta; Magnoliopsida; Malpighiales; Euphorbiaceae.